Molecule: long non-coding RNA, 312 nt
Organism: Daucus carota subsp. sativus
Lineage: Eukaryota; Viridiplantae; Streptophyta; Magnoliopsida; Apiales; Apiaceae
Exons: 3
Source: RefSeq, a predicted model, not a curated record
AAGAAAAGAGAGCAAAAUACUCCCCCCACCAAGACCAAAAGCUCUCGGCCCAAGCUAAAACAAGGAAGAAAGAAAAAUCAUUUCACCUAGCUCCACUCCAAGAACAAUUCAAGGAUAAAUCAUAGAGCUUCCUAGGAUCAUCACUAAGUUCAAGAUCAAGCUUAUUAAGGAUCAACCAAGCUCAAAUGAAGGUUCUCAGUGACCCUAGCACCCUUACCAAGCUUCAACAAGAUCACCGGACCUAUUUGCAAUCUCGCACCCACCCCAAGACUACAGGCAAGUUUUCGAACCUUAAACUUUUGAAAUAUGUUG